UCUUUAUUGAUCUCGUACCCUAUUAAUAUAAGUGGAUAUCGAUAAUUACAUACCACUCUUCCAUUCAGGACAAAUUGAAUAUUACAAACCAAAUAAUAUUGGUGGCGAUUAAAUAUCCAUAUUGGUCAUUUGCCGUCAUUUAGCGGUAGAUGGAUAUCACCUGUAAUAGUUGGAAGAACAUGCCUUAGACAAUACCGAUUGUGCGUGCGAUCCCAGAAGCUUUCUUGUUGUUCAAUUGCGGCUAGUAUUCCAGGGCCCCGAUCCGAUAUGAUGCAAAUAUCAGGUUGGGGACAGACAUACCUCCUUAACCUAGAAAGAAAGAAAUCUCAAUUGUUACCUGACUCCACCGGUGAUAUUGCAAAUGCAGAUUUCAAAACCCAUCUUAUCAAAAUUAUUUUUUCUAGAACAAUACUUAACAAUUAAAAAGAUUAAACCCUAAAACCUAAUACCCUAAUUUAAACCUAAAAACCCUAAACCUAGGCCUUAAUUAGCAAAUAACCCAUUGAGAAGGUGACUGUUGGGGGAAAACAUAGUCAAAAGCAUGCCCUCGUUAGCGCUUUUUAGUAAAGUCCGUCCAUGUCACAGCGCUUUUGCCUGAUACAAGGAAAAAAGUGCUUAUAUGGACGCUUUUUUCUAGAUUAUCCCCUAAAAAUGCAUCCACAUCAACGUGUUUUUAAAUUUUCGAUCCAUACCCGUUAUUAUUUUUAGAAAUGGUCCAUUUCCAUAAAUAAUUUCAAAAAUGAACCUUUAUUGGUACUAAACCCCAAUUUGUAAACAAAAUGGCAAUGUCUUUCAUGAUUUUUGUCCUCAUUUGUACAGUAGGAGACAACCACCUUGUCCCACAUCCUUAGAACUCAAAAGACACCCGAAUUUUCACAGGACUUCAACUAUUAAAUUUUAAGUUAAUUUUUUUUAAUCCUGUCGUAACCAUUUUUUUGAAAAACAGGAAUCGAUUUGGAUUUUGAAAAUAAAAACGAACAGAUGAGUCGCCACCAAUCCUUUUUGAUGAGGUGUGAUCCGGUCACCUCAAAUUAAUCAUUUUAAUAAAAGUUAAGAUUUACUAAAACGAUAAUUUCUGGUCUACGGAAAUCAAAAAAUGAGUUUGGGAGUCGAUUACGCACGAGGAAGGAUUAGCACCCUCGAUACGCCCAAAAAUUGGUACCUAGUUGAUUAAUUAGUGUCUUAGUGUCGAAAAUUUGAAAAUUUGAAAAAAUUUAAAAUACGAUCCUUCUUUAUAAAAAGUUCAAGUGUUAAAGACCCCUUCGUCUCAAAAUAUAAAAUGUCACAUCUAGUAAGUUAGGACACGACAUCUUGAAUUUUCGAAAGCGAGCUUGCCUUUUGUAUAAAAUUUUCGUAUUUUAAUUUAUUAAAAGGGGAUUCGAUUAUUUAGAGUAAACAAGAGAAAUCGAAACCCAGUAAGUUAGGGUACGUUUUCUCGAAUUCUCAAACACCGAAUAUUGCCUUUAUUUUAAAACAAAUUCUUAUUUCGAGGUGACAAAAUGUCAUACCCGGUAAGUUAGGGCACAACACUUUGUAUCUCCGAGAAUAAGCAUUUUCAAAACUCGUAUAGCGAUUUAAAAGAGUAUUCCGUUAUUUAGGUUAAAUGAGAAAAAUCGAAACCCAGUAAGUUAGGGCACGACUAUCUCGAAUUACCGAAUACGGAAUAUCACUUCUAUGAAAGAAUUAUUUUAAGGCAUUGAGUAAAAACAUAAUGUGGUUUAUAGUAAUAUAUAAAAGCAGAUUAUGAUAUUAAUAAUAAUGUAUAAUAAUGAGUGACAAUAACGAGCAAUUAUAAAAAGAUGACAUAUAAGCAAGGUUAGUAAUAUGUAAAUAUAAACAAAUGCGUGAGGAAAAUGAAAUGGCCGAACACAUAAGUAAAUUAAUAAAAUAAAAAUGAAUAAAACGUCGCAAAAUAAAAAUGGCAAUGAUAACGAAAUCGAUGAUUAUAAUAAUUAUAUGAAUAAUGACAGUAUAAAAUAAUAUAUGGUAUUAAACAUUAUAAUGAUGGUAAUAAUGUAAAAAUGAAAUAACAAGGAACAUAUAUAUGUAAAAUACGUAGUACUAGAUUAAAAAUAAAAAUAUAAUAUUUAUUGAAAACAGUGAUAAUACAUACAAGAGUAACUAAUAAUAACGAUACAUAAAUGCAUGUAUUGAAAUAUAUAUGUAAAAAUAGAAAUAAUAAUAAGAAUAUACGUGAUAUUAAAAUAUAUGUACAUAAUACAGUUUUAAGAAUAUACACAACAUGCAUGGCAUUAAAAAUGGUAUUAAACUACAUACAUAUAAGUAUUGAUGAAAAAUGCUAAUACUAAUAAUGGUAAUAAUAAUUACAAUAAGGAUGAUAAUGGUAAUAAUAAUAUUAUAGUAAAGUAAACAAAAGUAAUACCGUAUAUCAAUAUAUAUAAUGAAAAUACACACUACUAUAUAAUAAUAAUAAUAAUAAUAAUAAUAAUAAUAUAGAAAUACAAAGAGCAAAUAUAAUAAAAAUAUAAAAUAAAAAAAACAAUGCUAUAUAUAAAAAAUAUAUAUACGUGGUAUAAUAUUAAUACAUGCGUAAUAUGGAAAAUAAUGAAUAUAUAUAUUGAAGAAAUACAUGUGUGACAUACAAAGGCAUUAAUAAAACAAUAAUAUUAAGCUAUUAAUAAUACUUUAUAACAUAUAUAUGCAAGUAUUAAAUAAAAUGAGAUGUUAGUAAAUAAAAAUAUAACAGUAAUAAAAUAUAAUGGCAUGAAUAAUAUUAAAAUAAAAUAAAAUAAAAUAAGAGAGGGACGAAAUUGAAUUAAAAAUGGAACUUUUGGGACAAAUCGAGAUGGGACGAAAUUGCAACACACGAGAAGGCGUAGGGGCCAUAUGGGGCAAUGUUCGACACCCAAAACAACACCGUUUAGAUGUCUGAUCCUCAAAUGGCCCGAGGUCCGAAUUGAAACAAAAUUAAAGUUAAAAGGCGGACUUAAGAAAUGGGCGAAAAUCGGAUUAAAACAUAGCAGAAAUGGGGAGGGGCCACGCGAGCAAUUAUCCCAGACGGUGGAAACACGCGGAUCCUCAGGCAUCGGGUCGGGUCGUGCAUGGGUCACGUGAAACGGUGUCGUUUUGGCGCUGUGAGUUAAGGCCCAAAACGGCGCCGUAUUAUGCCAUUAUAUAAACCCCAAAUUUUUUAAAAACAGGCAUUCUUUUGCUGUUUCAGAAAAAUAAAGGGAAGAGUUCUUCCCUUCUCUCUGGGAAAACCCCAGAUUCCGGCCAGGAGGGCCACCACGCACUCCCGUCGUCACCGAUCCGCCACCACGCGGUGGCCGGAAUUCCCAGAAGGUAUAUUUUUUUCUUCUUUUUUUUUCUAUUAUUAUUUUUGUUUACAAUAUAUGUAUAUAUGUGAAUAAAAGGGCGUGGAAAAUAGAAAAGAAAGAAAAAUGAAACAAAUCGAAAGAAAAUGAAAUCACCUUUUGUUCCCCUGAUUUUUGAUUCUAUGUUUUCGUUUCUUCUUUUAAUGUUUUUCUCUUGAUUGGAUAUUUUGUGCCUUUGAGUUACUGAUUUUGUGUUUUAAAAUCAAGUGCUUCUUUUUAUUUCUCACCAAAAAAACCGAAUGCUUUUUACAAUUUCAUUUUGGUUUAUAUAUUUGUGCACACUGCUCCUUUUUGCUUUCUGUCUUCUCUCGUUUAAUGCUUGCAGGUGAAUGGCGGUGGACUUGACCUGUCGGUGGGAGCAGAGGCGGUGGUGGAUGGGACAGGGAGCAAGUGGCUGAAGCAGCUUAGGGUUUUCUUAGCUUUUUUCUUUUGUUUUGUGUUUGGGUUGGGCUAGGGUUUUGAUUUGUUUGGGCUAAGGAUUGUGGUUUAAGCUGAGUAUUGGGUUUAGGGUUAUUUUAAUUUUGGGGCCAAAAUUGGGCUAUACAAAUCCAACAUGUUUUUCUCAUGCAAAAUGAAUGAUUAGGCUCGCACAGAAAAUAAAUUACAAACUAAAGAAGGAUUGUAACAGUCGCAUACACGUAGAUAGGCAAUAAAACAAUACCUAAAUUCGAGUCAUUUUUAAAUGAAAAACUGUUAUCUAGUAUAACCCAUGAGUCUUUUUUUUCUUCUAACUUGUUGAUAAUUUUAACCACAAAU
Molecule: long non-coding RNA, 4091 nt
Filed under: Gossypium barbadense (sea-island cotton)
Lineage: Eukaryota; Viridiplantae; Streptophyta; Magnoliopsida; Malvales; Malvaceae
Description: long non-coding RNA (GBAR_LNC006217)
Source: RNAcentral